Molecule: ribosomal RNA, 404 nt
Filed under: Actinomycetes bacterium
Lineage: Bacteria; Bacillati; Actinomycetota; Actinomycetes
Description: Actinobacteria bacterium partial 16S ribosomal RNA
Rfam family: Bacterial small subunit ribosomal RNA
Source: RNAcentral
UGGGGAAUAUUGGACAAUGGGCGCAAGCCUGAUCCAGCCAUGCCGCGUGAGUGAUGAAGGCCCUAGGGUUGUAAAGCUCUUUCACCGGUGAAGAUAAUGACGGUAACCGGAGAAGAAGCCCCGGCUAACUUCGUGCCAGCAGCCGCGGUAAUACGAAGGGGGCUAGCGUUGUUCGGAUUUACUGGGCGUAAAGCGCACGUAGGCGGACUAUUAAGUCAGGGGUGAAAUCCCGGGGCUCAACCCCGGAACUGCCUUUGAUACUGGUAGUCUUGAGUUCGAGAGAGGUGUGUGGAAUUCCGAGUGUAGAGGUGAAAUUCGUAGAUAUUCGGAGGAACACCAGUGGCGAAGGCGGCUCACUGGCUCGAUACUGACGCUGAGGUGCGAAAGCGUGGGGAGCAAACAGG